GUCCAAUACAUAUCUGAUUUCAGAUGGAAUCUUAUCUCACUGAGCAAAUUAGAUUCGAGAAGUUACAGGACAAUAGCUAGUGGAGAAAUCCUAAAGAUAUUGUACAGCGAUAGGGUUAUUUUGGAGGAAAAGAAGAGGACGAGAGGAUAUUACUAUCUGAUGGAGAGCCUAGUACGAGAUGGAGCUUUAGAAGCCAAGAGAAGCCCAGAGUGAGGUGGAGCUCCAAGUGGAGGUG
This 235-nucleotide long non-coding RNA is filed under the name Elaeis guineensis (African oil palm). RNAcentral describes it as "long non-coding RNA (EGUI_LNC064414)". Lineage: Eukaryota; Viridiplantae; Streptophyta; Magnoliopsida; Arecales; Arecaceae. The record is from RNAcentral.